RNAcentral lists this ribosomal RNA (255 nucleotides) under uncultured bacterium. Its description in RNAcentral is "partial 16S ribosomal RNA". It matches the Rfam family "Bacterial small subunit ribosomal RNA", at positions 524 to 776 of the family's 1533-position model. The record is from RNAcentral.
UACAGUAGGGUGCGAGCGUUGUCCGGAAUUAUUGGGCGUAAAGAGCUUGUAGGCGGUUUGUCGCGUCUGCCGUGAAAAUUCGAGGCUCAACCUCGAACUUGCGGUGGGUACGGGGCAGACUAGAGUCCGGUAGGGGAGCGUGGAAUUCCUGGUGUAGCGGUGAAAUGCGCAGAUAUCAGGAGGAACACCAGCGGCGAAGGCGGCGCUCUGGGCCGGAACUGACGCUGAGGAGCGAAAGCGUGGGUAGCAAACAGG